AUAACUGUUACAAUAAAGUGGGUAAAAUUGGAACAAAAAAUAGGUCGUGCUUUUUAUUUCAACUUUAAAUUGAUCUGUAUAUUUUUCUGGCAAA
Long non-coding RNA from Arabidopsis lyrata subsp. lyrata, 94 nucleotides. RefSeq lists it as uncharacterized. The transcript has 2 exons. NCBI's taxonomy places the organism in Eukaryota, Viridiplantae, Streptophyta, Magnoliopsida, Brassicales, Brassicaceae. The record is from RefSeq and is a predicted model, not a curated record.